UACGUAGGGGGCAAGCGUUAUCCGGAUUUACUGGGUGUAAAGGGAGCGUAGACGGUGAUGCAAGUCAGAAGUGAAAGCCCGGGGCUCAACUCCGGGACUGCUUUUGAAACUGCUUCCCUUGAGUAUCGGAGAGGUAAUCGGAAUUCCUAGUGUAGCGGUGAAAUGCGUAGAUAUUAGGAAGAACACCAGUGGCGAAGGCGGAUUACUGGACGACAACUGACGGUGAGGCGCGAAAGCGUGGGGAGCAAAAAGG
Molecule: ribosomal RNA, 253 nt
Filed under: uncultured Oscillospiraceae bacterium
Lineage: Bacteria; Bacillati; Bacillota; Clostridia; Eubacteriales; Oscillospiraceae
Description: partial 16S ribosomal RNA
Rfam family: Bacterial small subunit ribosomal RNA
Source: RNAcentral